This 83-nucleotide small RNA is filed under the name Marmota monax (woodchuck). Lineage: Eukaryota; Metazoa; Chordata; Mammalia; Rodentia; Sciuridae. The record is from RNAcentral.
GCUGGGUGCGGUGGUGCUCACCUGUAAUCCCAGAAACUCAGAAGGCUGAGGCAGGAGGAUCGAAAGUUCAAAGCCAGCCUCAG